Molecule: long non-coding RNA, 354 nt
Organism: Podarcis muralis (Common wall lizard)
Lineage: Eukaryota; Metazoa; Chordata; Lepidosauria; Squamata; Lacertidae
Source: RefSeq, a predicted model, not a curated record
CGAGCUGUCCCCCAACCCACCUUUGAGAAUAUGAACUGGAGACUCACCUGCCCUAACCGCUGAUGCUUCCCAGGCCGAACAACUUAACCCUCGGACCAGCCCUACUAAAGGGCUUUGGGAAUGCAAGCAUCCUCCCCCCCCUCCCGCGGCUCGUGGUAUGUUCCAACAAAACAAAACGACGCGCAGAGAAAAUGGAACGUCACAAGGGCGCCACUUCCUGGUCCUGCGGAACGGACCAAGCUCUCUGCUGCCAUCUAUAGUUCCUGCGAUGGGAUCGUGCUGUCAAUUGAAAGCUUUGGGGCUUAAAAAAAUACCCACUUAUGUAUACAUUAAAAAUACCUAAAGGUUUUUUUU